CAGUCGCCGCGGGAAUACGUAGGGUGCAAGCGUUAAUCGGAAUUACUGGGCGUAAAGCGUGCGCAGGCGGUUAUAUAAGACAGAUGUGAAAUCCCCGGGCUCAACCUGGGAACUGCAUUUGUGACUGUAUAGCUAGAGUACGGCAGAGGGGGAUGGAAUUCCGCGUGUAGCAGUGAAAUGCGUAGAUAUGCGGAGGAACACCGAUGGCGAAGGCAAUCCCCUGGGCCUGUACUGACGCUCAUGAACGAAAGCGUGGGGAGCAAACAGGAUUAGAUACCCCAGUAGUCCCUGUCUCUUAUAC
RNAcentral lists this ribosomal RNA (301 nucleotides) under uncultured bacterium. RNAcentral describes it as "partial 16S ribosomal RNA". It matches the Rfam family "Bacterial small subunit ribosomal RNA", at positions 509 to 807 of the family's 1533-position model. The record is from RNAcentral.